GUGAAGCAUAUACAGCUGGUUUCAAGUUAAAGGUUGUGGAAUAUGCCAAGCAACAUGGAAAUAGGGCUGCAGCAAGGCAUUUUGGAGAGCCACCAACAGAAUGCACAAUACGAGAGUGGGGUAAAAUGGAAGAAAAACUCAAGACAUUAUCAAAAACAAAAUGCAAUUUUCGCAGCGGUAUUGCUAAAUGGCCAAAAUUAGAAGAACGGGUGAAGGAAUUUGUACUUAAUCAUAGAAAAGCGGGCAUUGCAUUAUCAACAAAAAUGAUCAUCAUUCAAGCAGUGAAAAUCAGCAAAGAGUUGCAAAUACAAGAUUUCAAAG
Molecule: non-coding RNA, 321 nt
Organism: Pelobates cultripes (western spadefoot toad)
Lineage: Eukaryota; Metazoa; Chordata; Amphibia; Anura; Pelobatidae
Source: the annotation of a GenBank genome assembly